UUUCCAAACAAUGACUCAUGGUCAUGUUGGAAUAGGUGGCUACCUAAGGAAUUGAUUGAAUUUAAUACGUAGCUUCUUGGUCUUAAAAAUGUUAGGCCCCACGUAGUCAAUUCAAGCUUUAAACAAAGCAAAUUUUCCAUUUCUCAUGAACAACCACCAACAGAAUGACAAGCUCCCACAAGAAAACGUUUUCUUCAUUUCAAAACCAAGUCAAGUUCGUUUCAAUUUCAAGUAAAUUCAGUUUAAAUUUCGCGAAAGCAGAUUCAUUCAAAUAAUUCAAGAAACAGGGUCAGACAGACAGACGGGUAGACCUCCUCAGUAGGUGUUGCCCGAGAUCAGCUUUAUCAGUAAGCUCCCCUUCUUUCGGAGUUACCGGGUCUAGCAGUGUGGUGUGCAUCUUGUGUAUAUAUGUAGAUAGGUUAUGGGUAGGUCGGGGCCCUGUUCCGAUCAUAGUACAUCUAUUAUUAGAGGCUUGUAGAUAUGUCGUGUCAGUUAAUACCGUAUGUUGGUCUGGUAGGCCCUGUACGUAUAUUUUGUUAGCUUGUCAGUUGUAGUAAAUGUGACGGCCUUGUCGGCCCAGCCUUAUGUUGAUGGUUAGUCAGUAUUAGUCUCUA
Molecule: non-coding RNA, 614 nt
Organism: Nicotiana tabacum (common tobacco)
Lineage: Eukaryota; Viridiplantae; Streptophyta; Magnoliopsida; Solanales; Solanaceae
Source: RefSeq, a predicted model, not a curated record